CCCUCAUUGCUGCCAUUUGAGUGCCAUAUCACCACCACAUCUGGUGGCCGGCAAGGUUUCGAAAGGGGCCCUUUUCUAGCCCCCGUUUGGAGCAUCCCUGAAAGCCAUGAAACCAAAACUCAAAGAUGCCGAAAGAGAGGAGAUUUUCAGCCCCUCUUGGACCCGAUUACAGCGACGGCGACGAAGAGGAGGGCUCCGACGACGUGGCUGUGGGGGUCUCCGGUAAGCUCUUUCCUUUUACUAUUUUUUAUUUAAAAUAGAUUUUUACAAACACAAAAAAAAUAAAAAUAAAAAUAAAAGAAGGAACUGGAAAUCGAAAGGCGACAAAAAGAAAAGAAAAAAAGAAAUCAAAUCAACCGUUGCCUUUGCUUCUAUUCUGCUUUUUUAUUGCUUAAUCUGUGUAAAAAAAUACAAAGAGAUCUGAAAACGUUCUUAUAGCCGAAAAUCAACCUUUUUGUUUCUGUUCUUUUGUUUUUUUGUUAUUUACUUCACCAUUGCUUUGUGUUAAUUUCCCUCUGCAGGUGUCAGAGGUGUGGAAGGCUGGUGGUUGGCUCGAGGGGAGGCCAAGGGUUCGGCAGCAGGCGUGGCUGCUGAAAAAAUAAAGGUAGUGGGCUAUUAGGGUUAGUUUAGGUAAUGGGCUAAUAGGGUUUUGAUUUGUUUUUGGUUUUAAUCUGUAAUGGGCCAUUUAUUUUGGACUUUUAAUUUGGGUUGUAUUAUUUUGUUGGCCAGGCCAAAAUUGGCUAUAACAGCUGCCCCUCUUUGCUCAUUCUCGUGUAAUGAGAAUGGAGUAAAAACCUUAAAAUAGCCAAUUUUGCCUUGUCUAACUGGAUCUUGGCUUCGUGGUGCUUUUUUUCUUCGAGUAACCUCACUUCAUCCCACUGCAUCUUCAGGGGUAUUGGAAUUAAUUCUAUGGUUUGCUCCAAUGUAAUUUCAGGGAGAGGAGACUUGUAGCUUCGAUCAACUCCGCUGGAACUUCAAAGGAUUAAGACUUGAUAAUUUCAACCUGCUCCACUGCAUCUUCAGGGAGAUGAGGUUCGCGACUUCAACCCG
This 1050-nucleotide long non-coding RNA is filed under the name Gossypium barbadense (sea-island cotton). RNAcentral describes it as "long non-coding RNA (GBAR_LNC012931)". The record is from RNAcentral. Lineage: Eukaryota; Viridiplantae; Streptophyta; Magnoliopsida; Malvales; Malvaceae.